This 73-nucleotide transfer RNA is filed under the name Thermoplasmata archaeon. RNAcentral's name for it is "tRNA-Asp". It matches the Rfam family "tRNA". Rfam says of the family: Transfer RNA (tRNA) molecules are approximately 80 nucleotides in length. Their secondary structure includes four short double-helical elements and three loops (D, anti-codon, and T loops). RNAcentral also lists the same sequence under 3 other names. The record is from RNAcentral. Lineage: Archaea; Methanobacteriati; Thermoplasmatota; Thermoplasmata.
GCCCUGGUAGUGUAGCGGCCUAUCAUGAAGCCCUGUCGAGGCUUCGACACGGAUUCAAAUUCCGUCCAGGGCG